UUGAAAAGUUGGGAGAUGAGAUAGGUUUAGGGGUGAAACGCCAAUCGAACUGAGAGAUAGCUCGUUCUCUCCGAAAUGCAUUUAGGUGCAGCCUUAAGAAUUAAAUUGCGGGGGUAGAGCACUGAAUGGUCUAGGGGGCAUAUUGCUUACCGAAGCCAACCAAACUCCGAAUACCGUAAUUUUUAAUCUUAGGAGUGAGACUAUGGGUACUAAGAUCCAUGGUCAAAAGGGAAACAACCCAGACCGUCAGCUAAGGUCCCUAAUUAUAGCUAAGUGGGAAAGGAGGUGGAGAUUCCCAAACAACCAGGAGGUUGGCUUAGAAGCAGCCAUUCCUUUAAAGAGUGCGUAAUAGCUCACUGGUCGAGAGUCUCUGCGCCGACAAUGUAACGGGGCUAAGCUAUAAACCGAAGCUACGGAAUCGCGUAAGCGAUUGGUAGGAGAGCGUUCUGUAGGCUGUUGAAGGAGAACUGAUAAGGAACUCUGGAGGUAUCAGAAGUGAGAAUGCAGGAAUAAGUAGCGAGAAAGAGGGUGAGAAUCCUUCUCGCCGGAAGACCAAGGUUUCCAGGGUAAAGCUUGUCUUCCCUGGGUAAGCCGGGACCUAAGCCCAGGCUAUAAUGCGUAGGCGAAUGGAAAACAGAUUAAUAUUUCUGUGCCACUGAUAAAUUGUGAAGGAGGGACGCAGAAGGGUAUGUAAGCAGGAGAACGGAAGUUCCUGUGUAAGCAUGUAGUAUGACUUAGUAGGCAAAUCCGCUAGGUUAGAUAUGAGGUGUGAUGCAUAGCUCGUAAGAGCGAAUUUACAGAUCCCACGCUGCCAAGAAAAGCUUCUAGCGUUAAUUUAUUAGUGCCCGUACUGUAAACCAACACAGGUGGUCAGAAUGAGAAAUUUAAGGCGGACAGGCUAACUCUCGCUAAGGAACUCUGCAAAAUGAAUCCGUAACUUCGGGAGAAGGAUUGCCCUUUUGUGUGGAGUGCUACGCGCACAAAGCAUGAGAGGGUCGCAGUGAAGAGGCUCAGGCAACUGUUUAACAAAAACACAGGUCUAUGCUAAGCUGAAAGGCGAUGUAUAUGGGCUGACACCUGCCCAGUGCCGGAAGGUUAAGAGGAGGAGUGAGAGCUCCGAAUUGAAGCCCCGGUGAACGGCGGCCGUAACUAUAACGGUCCUAAGGUAGCGAAAUUCCUUGUCGGGUAAGUUCCGACCUGCACGAAAGGUGUAAUGAUCUGAGCGCUGUCUUGGCGGGAGGCCUGGUGAAAUUGUAUUACCGGUGAAGAUACCGGUUACCUGCAGUAGGACGGAAAGACCCCAUGGAGCUUUACUGUAGCUUGGUAUUGGGUUUCGGUGUCAUAUGUAUAGGAUAGUUGGGAGGCUACGAAGUAUGUCCGUCAGGAUAUAUGGAGCCGCUGGUGGAAUACCAACCAUAUUACACUGGAAUUCUAAUUUGAGGUUUGUAGUCUUGAAGACAGUGCUAGGUGGGCAGUUUGACUGGGGCGGUCGCCUCCGAAAGAGUAACGGAGGCGCCCAAAGGUUCCCUCAGGUUGGAUGGAAAUCAACCGCAGAGUGUAAUGGCAGAAGGGAGCUUAACUGCGAGACUGACGGGUCGAGCAGGUGCGAAAGCAGGGCAUAGUGAUCCGGCGAUUCCGAAUGGAAGGGUCGUCGCUCAACGGAUAAAAGCUACCCUGGGGAUAACAGGCUGAUUUUGCCCGAGAGUCCAUAUCGACGGCAAAGUUUGGCACCUCGAUGUCGGCUCAUCUCAUCCUGGGGCUGGAGAAGGUCCCAAGGGUUGGGCUGUUCGCCCAUUAAAGAGGUACGUGAGCUGGGUUCAGAACGUCGUGAGACAGUUCGGUCCCUAUCCACUGCAGGCGUAAGAGUAUUGAAAAGAUCUGUCCUUAGUACGAGAGGACCGGGAUGGACAAACCUCUGAUGUACCAGUUGUCACGCCAGUGGCACAGCUGGGUAGUCACGUUUGGACUAGAUAACCGCUGAAAGCAUCUAAGCGGGAAACUGACUUUGA
This 2009-nucleotide ribosomal RNA is filed under the name gut metagenome. RNAcentral describes it as "bacterial LSU rRNA". It matches the Rfam family "Bacterial large subunit ribosomal RNA", at positions 789 to 2802 of the family's 2925-position model. The record is from RNAcentral.